GAUCCUGGCUCAGGAUGAACGCUGGCGGCGUGCCUAACACAUGCAAGUCGAGCGAGAAACUUAUGACGGAAGCUUCGGCUGAAGUCAUGGGUGGAAAGCGGCGGACGGGUGAGUAACGCGUAGGCAACCUGCCCUUUGCAGAGGGAUAGCCUCGGGAAACCGGGAUUAAAACCUCAUGAUGCCGUGUGAAGACAUCUUCAUAUGGUCAAAGAUUUAUCGGCAAAGGAUGGG
RNAcentral lists this ribosomal RNA (231 nucleotides) under uncultured bacterium. RNAcentral describes it as "partial 16S ribosomal RNA". It matches the Rfam family "Bacterial small subunit ribosomal RNA", at positions 15 to 229 of the family's 1533-position model. The record is from RNAcentral.